CAUGGAUGGGUGCAUGGCCGAAGAGGGCCAAAUCCACACCGAGCUCGCCCUGGCUUGGAUCCAGCGCCCGACGCGCAGCUCCGACCUCCCUCCCUGGCUUUCCCCGAGCUCGCGCUCAACCUGCUCGCUGGUCCCCCUUCUCCCAUCUCGGACUUCGCCGUCCUGCUGCUCGCCAUGGCGCCUAGUACCUGGCCUGGCCGGAGCUCCCUCCAACUCGAGCUCCCACCUCCCAUGGAUGUCUACUCCAGCUCGCUCUCCAGUCGUUCCUCCCUGUGCUCGCCCCAUCUCUCUCCAUGGCGCGCGCGUCCAUCCCUGUUAGCUGCAAGCAUCCGAGUUCCCCUGCGCGCGCUCUGCUCCCUCGCCGCGCGCGUCCUGCUCGCCUCUGUGACGUGCGCUCUCACCAGCCAUGAAGCUCCCAUGGCGCGCCCUGCUCCUCUGUGCGCAGCCGCGUUCCUCUACCGGCCAUCAGUUGCCGCUGAACCACAGUUGGAUUAAUUUUUAGCUUCCCUCGCGUGGCUCUCUGGAGAUAAGCUCCUCACUGGUUGUCGCUCCCAAUCUUUAGUUCACCGACUGACCGUCAUGUUCCUUGUUUUCCCUCGUCGGCCGACCUCGCCUCGACUUAGUUCGCCCGUUGUGCUGGUCGUUGUCCCAUGCUGUGCCUAUUAGCUUGGAUCCUGCCCAGCUCGCCAUCGCGUUGUUCGCCGUCGACCUCGCUUGGCCCUAUAUCGUUAGGCUAGUCGACCAUAGUCGCUGCCGCGCGCGCUUGUCCCUG
Molecule: unclassified non-coding RNA, 772 nt
Filed under: Zea mays
Lineage: Eukaryota; Viridiplantae; Streptophyta; Magnoliopsida; Poales; Poaceae
Description: misc RNA Zm00001eb307910
Source: RNAcentral